Long non-coding RNA from Mauremys mutica (yellowpond turtle), 1874 nucleotides. RefSeq lists it as uncharacterized. The transcript is spliced from 5 exons. The record is from RefSeq and is a predicted model, not a curated record. NCBI's taxonomy places the organism in Eukaryota, Metazoa, Chordata, Testudines, Geoemydidae.
CUUAUUUCUGUUGAUUUGAUCACUGCAGCUUGUCUGUCAGAAGUAGUAAGAGAACCUGUUCAUAUCAAGAGGUAAGGAAUGCACCUUCUCCUAGCAAUGGAGUGGAAACUAACCAAUCUCAGUGUACUUUCAGGUGAAGAAAGUGAAUCUAGCCUUUGCUGUCAAAGGCUACAAGCAGUUUCAUAAGAAGAAAGCAAGAUACAUAACCAAAGCUUCUGAGAGGUUAUAGAAGUAUUGACUUGCUCUAGCCAAGAAUAAGGAAAGCACUUAUACCUACUAGAUUAACAGUACAGCUGAUUGUAUGGAGAGAAAGAUAAACCAAUCCAGCAAUUCACCACACAGAAGGUGGUCAUAUUUCAAGAUGCAAGGAUGACACAUGGCUGUAGUUUACAGGAAGGAAUUAGCUGAUCCAUCCUUUUAAGGAGGUAAGAAAUAUGGGAAUGAUGUAUUGUAAUAGUCAAUGGUUCUGGUCAUCCAUUCAGGUGGAAGGAAGGUAACUGAGGAAAUCUUCAUCUCUCUAAAGAGCACAAGAAAUUGCUGUACUGAAUAAAGCACUAAAAAUGGGAGCUACCUGUUCAGAUGAAAGGAAAGUAGUUGGUAAUUCUAACCAAUGAUGAUGAUCUUUGUUCCUUUUUCCUUCCCAGAGAAGGCCAUUGCUUGUUCCUACAAGGAUGUAACAGGGAAGUUAUUUCAAAGAACAAGUGCAACUAACCAGAGUGUGAAGAUGAGCAUUGAGCCUGUUCUUGCAUUUGCAGAGAGGAGUUGUCCAGCUGAUUCUAGUUGUGCCUAAUUGAUCAUUGUUGCUUAUUUUUCAGAUGUCAAGAAAUAAGCGGAACUGAUCAUUUCUAUCAAGAGGUAAGGAACGCACCUCCUCACAGCAUGGAGGCAGGAAUGAAAGGCUCUGUUUCUAUUUUCAGAUGAAAGGAAGGUCUUACCAUUCAAGGGAGGAUGAGAGGCUGCUGAAUUUAAGAAAAAAAAGUCAGACAGGUUUUGCUCUUCUGAGAUAUGAAGAGACCAGGUGGUCAUUCCUACCAGGGAGAAGUGAGGCUUAGUGGCGUGGCUGUCCUGGGCAAGAAGGUAAGAAAUACCAGUCUCCAAACAUCCAUGUGUACAUUAAGUGGUGUGGAUUUUGCUUUCAGGGAGAAAAACUGUGGAUGACCUUACUUGUCAUGGGGAGAGUGUCAAAAGCAGACACAAGAUAAAGCAACAUGGACUUGCCAACUGCUCAAUCCAUUGAGGACUCCAGUGACAAAAUGCUUUUUUUUUAAUUCCCUUGAAAUAAUACACAGACAAAAAAAAGCCACUUCAAGUAGUUCAGCUAGUCGCAAAUCUGAAUCAAGUCAGAACAUAAGACAUGGAGAUGAGAGAAAUGCAGAUGAUUUGAACGUUGAGAGUGUGAAAUCUUCAGGAAGUUGCUAGAAGAUCUGGGAUAUCUACAGAAAAGAAACAAGCAAAACUCGUCCCUGCUACCAAGAGGAGGAGAGUUACAGAUGCUCAGGAUUUGAGUACAAAGGAAUAGGAAUGGAGCUGAACAGAUUCAACACCUGAAAGGACGAUUGGAUCUCAAAAUAUGAAAGUCCCUUCAUUCAAUAAAGCAACAGGAUUGGCUCUGAGGAGAGGUAAGCAGCAUUUGGUAAGUCUAAGAAAUGAGCAUAGCAAUUUUGUAGCGCUGAUUGUAACUUAUGUUGUGCCAAAGGGUUUGUUACAGCUGAUCACACAUCUCAGGAGCUAAGAGGAUGUGAGGGGGAUGGCAGAUGUCAGGGGAUUCAUCUUUAUUAGGAGGUGGUGAACCUGCUUGUCACUUCUGAGUGACAUCAGUGGCUUUGGUUUUGCUUGAUGAAGGAAAGAGCCAGCGUGGACAGUAUUCAAGACAC